GUAGGUGGCAAGCGUUAUCCGGGAAUUAUUGGGGCGUAAAGCGCGCGCAGGCGGUUUCUUAAGGUCUGAUGUGAAAGCCCACGGGCUCAACCGUGGAGGGUCAUUGGAAACUGGGGAACUUGUGUGCAGAAGAGAAAAGCGGAAUUCCACGUGUAGCGGUGAAAUGCGUAGAGAUGUGGAGGAACACCAGUGGCGAAGGCGGCUUUUUGGUCUGUAACUGACGCUGAGGCGCGAAAGCGUGGGGAGCAAACAGGAUUAGAUACCCUGGUAGUCCACGCCGUAAACGAUGAGUGCUAAGUGUUAGAGGGUUUCCGCCCUUUAGUGCUGCAGCUAACGCAUUAAGCACUCCGCCUGGGGAGUACGGUCGCAAAGACUG
Molecule: ribosomal RNA, 376 nt
Filed under: uncultured organism
Description: partial 16S ribosomal RNA
Rfam family: Bacterial small subunit ribosomal RNA
Source: RNAcentral